This 465-nucleotide ribosomal RNA is filed under the name uncultured bacterium. Its description in RNAcentral is "partial 16S ribosomal RNA". It matches the Rfam family "Bacterial small subunit ribosomal RNA", at positions 338 to 795 of the family's 1533-position model. The record is from RNAcentral.
CCUACGGGAGGCAGCAGUAGGGAAUCUUCCACAAUGGGCGAAAGCCUGAUGGAGCAACGCCGCGUGGGUGAAGAAGGUCUUCGGAUCGUAAAACCCUGUUGUUAGAGAAGAAAGUGCGUGAGAGUAACUGUUCACGUUUCGACGGUAUCUAACCAGAAAGCCACGGCUAACUACGUGCCAGCAGCCGCGGUAAUACGUAGGUGGCAAGCGUUAUCCGGUUUUAUUGGGCGUAAAGGGAACGCAGGCGGUCUUUUAAGUCUGAUGUGAAAGCCUUCGGCUUAACCGGAGUAGUGCAUUGGAAACUGGGAGACUGGAGUGCAGAAGAGGAGAGUGGAACUCCAUGUGUAGCGGUGAAAUGCGUAGAUAUAUGGAAGAACACCAGUGGCGAAAGCGGCUCUCUGGUCUGUAACUGACGCUGAGGUUCGAAAGCGUGGGUAGCAAACAGGAUUAGAUACCCCAGUAGUC